CGGGGGGAGCAAGCGUUGUUCGGAUUUACUGGGCGUAAAGGGCGCGUAGGCGGCCACCGCAAGUCGGUUGUGAAAUCUCCGGGCUUAACCCGGAAAGGUCAAUCGAUACUGCGGGGCUAGAGUGCAGAAGGGGCAACUGGAAUUCUCGGUGUAGCGGUGAAAUGCGUAGAUAUCGAGAGGAACACUUGCGGCGAAGGCGGGUUGCUGGGCUGACACUGACGCUGAAGCGCGAAAGCUAGGGGAGCGAACGGGAUUAGAUACCCCGGUAGUCCUAGCCUUAAACGAUGAAUGCUUGGUGUCUGGGGUUUUAUAGUCCCCGGGUGCCGUCGCUAACGCUUUAAGCAUUCCGCCUGGGGAGUACGGUCGCAAGACUG
RNAcentral lists this ribosomal RNA (374 nucleotides) under uncultured organism. Its description in RNAcentral is "bacterial SSU rRNA". It matches the Rfam family "Bacterial small subunit ribosomal RNA", at positions 526 to 896 of the family's 1533-position model. The record is from RNAcentral.